AGGGUGACAGGUGGUGCAUGGUUGUCGUCAGCUCGUGUCGUGAGAUGUUGGGGUUAAGUCCCGCAACGAGCGCAAACCCUCGACCUUAGUUGCCAGCAUUCAGUUGGGCACUCUAAGGUGACUGCCGGCUAAAAGUCGGAGGAAGUGGGGAUGACGUCAAAUCAUCAUGCCCCUUAUGACCUGGGCUACACACGUGCUACAAUGGGCGGUACAAAGGGUCGCGAACCCGCGAGGGGGAGCCAAUCCCAAAAAGCCGCUCUCAGUUCGGAUUGCAGGCUGCAACUCGCCUGCAUGAAGCCGGAAUCGCUAGUAAUCGCGGAUCAGCAUGCCGCGGUGAAUACGUUCCCGGGCCUU
Molecule: ribosomal RNA, 354 nt
Filed under: uncultured Anoxybacillus sp.
Lineage: Bacteria; Bacillati; Bacillota; Bacilli; Caryophanales; Anoxybacillaceae
Description: bacterial SSU rRNA
Rfam family: Bacterial small subunit ribosomal RNA
Source: RNAcentral